AGUGAACGCUGGCGGUAGGCCUAACACAUGCAAGUCGAACGGCAGCACAGUAAGAGCUUGCUCUUACGGGUGGCGAGUGGCGGACGGGUGAGGAAUACAUCGGAAUCUACUUUUUCGUGGGGGAUAACGUAGGGAAACUUACGCUAAUACCGCAUACGACCUACGGGUGAAAGCAGGGGAUCUUCGGACCUUGCGCGAUUGAAUGAGCCGAUGUCGGAUUAGCUAGUUGGCGGGGUAAAGGCCCACCAAGGCGACGAUCCGUAGCUGGUCUGAGAGGAUGGUCGGCCACACUGGAGCUGAGACACGGUCCAGACUCCUACGGGAGGCAGCAGUGGGGAAUAUUAGGCAAUGGGCGCGAGCCUGAUCCAGCCAUACCGCGUGGGUGACGAAGGCCUUCGGGUUGUAAAGCCCUUUUGUUGGGAAAGAAAAGCAGCAGGUUAAUACCCCGCUGUUCUGACGGUACCCAAAGAAUAAGCACCGGCUAACUUCGUG
This 492-nucleotide ribosomal RNA is filed under the name uncultured bacterium. Its description in RNAcentral is "partial 16S ribosomal RNA". It matches the Rfam family "Bacterial small subunit ribosomal RNA", at positions 29 to 507 of the family's 1533-position model. The record is from RNAcentral.